Gadus morhua (Atlantic cod) is the source of this 746-nucleotide long non-coding RNA. RefSeq lists it as uncharacterized. The transcript has 2 exons. The record is from RefSeq and is a predicted model, not a curated record. NCBI's taxonomy places the organism in Eukaryota, Metazoa, Chordata, Actinopteri, Gadiformes, Gadidae.
GCGGCGGUCGCCACGCACACCGACACCAGCCCCGCCAGCAGAGGGUCCAGGAGGGAGCUGGGUCCCGGACCCUGGAAGGCUGCGAGGGGAGGGAGACGGGGAGAACACAGGAACUGGGGUUUUCAAACGGCUCACAUCUCGGUCAUAGAAGGGGACCACAUCGGUGGCAAGGUGAGAUUUGUAUGAGGAAUUUAUUGAAUUGUUGAACAUUUGAAUGAUCUAGAUCAGCGGUCCUCAAACUGUGGGUUGCGUGUGACACAAAAGGUAGUGCAGGUAGUUAGGAUCCAGAUACAGGUAGUGGAUGAUCCAGAUCCAUAGGAUCCAGAUACAGGUAGUGGAUGAUCCAGAUCCAUAGGAUCCAGAUACAGGUAGUGGAUUAUCCAGAUCCAUAGGAUCCAGAUACAGGUAGUGGAUUAUCCAGAUCCAUAGGAUCCAGAUACAGGUAGUGGAUGAUCCAGAUCCAUAGGAUCCAGAUACAGGUAGUGGAUUAUCCAGAUCCAUAGGAUCCAGAUACAGGUAGUGGAUUAUCCAGAUCCAUAGGAUCCAGAUACAGGUAGUGGAUGAUCCAGAUCCAUAGGAUCCAGAUACAGGUAGCGCGUUACAGGUAGUGCAUAGUCCAGAUCAGAUACAGGGAGUGCAUUAGUCCAGAUCCAUCGGAUUCAGAAUGAGUUAGUGCUGAGCCCCAAUAGUAGAUAUAAUAUUAAAGAUUGUACUUUUUUUAAAUAAAAAAUACAAUUACAAAACUA